UUUUAUUCAUCGAACAAGCAGAAACAGUUUUUUAAAGCUCAGCAAACUUUAAUUUUUUAAUGCCAUAAAAGAUUUUUUCGUUCGAAUCGGAUGAAUAAAAU
Molecule: transfer RNA, 101 nt
Filed under: Belgica antarctica
Lineage: Eukaryota; Metazoa; Arthropoda; Insecta; Diptera; Chironomidae
Description: tRNA IU25_tRNA_116
Source: RNAcentral